GUGUUCGCUUCAGCAGCACAUAUACUACAAUUGGAACGAUACAGAGAAGAUUAGCAUGGCCCCCUGCGCAAGGAUGACACGCAAAUUUGUGAAGCGCACGCACACACA
Non-coding RNA from Erinaceus europaeus (western European hedgehog), 108 nucleotides. The record is from Rfam. NCBI's taxonomy places the organism in Eukaryota, Metazoa, Chordata, Mammalia, Eulipotyphla, Erinaceidae.